UGGGGAAUAUUGCACAAUGGGCGCAAGCCUGAUGCAGCCAUGCCGCGUGUAUGAAGAAGGCCUUCGGGUUGUAAAGUACUUUCAGCGGGGAGGAAGGGAGUAAAGUUAAUACCUUUGCUCAUUGACGUUACCCGCAGAAGAAGCACCGGCUAACUCCGUGCCAGCAGCCGCGGUAAUACGGAGGGUGCAAGCGUUAAUCGGAAUUACUGGGCGUAAAGCGCACGCAGGCGGUUUGUUAAGUCAGAUGUGAAAUCCCCGGGCUCAACCUGGGAACUGCAUCUGAUACUGGCAAGCUUGAGUCUCGUAGAGGGGGGUAGAAUUCCAGGUGUAGCGGUGAAAUGCGUAGAGAUCUGGAGGAAUACCGGUGGCGAAGGCGGCCCCCUGGACGACGACUGACGCUCAGGUGCGAAAGCGUGGGGAGCAAACAGG
Molecule: ribosomal RNA, 429 nt
Filed under: Chloroflexota bacterium
Lineage: Bacteria; Bacillati; Chloroflexota
Description: Chloroflexi bacterium partial 16S ribosomal RNA
Rfam family: Bacterial small subunit ribosomal RNA
Source: RNAcentral